Molecule: non-coding RNA, 186 nt
Organism: Acidovorax sp. 65-7
Lineage: Bacteria; Pseudomonadati; Pseudomonadota; Betaproteobacteria; Burkholderiales; Comamonadaceae
Source: Rfam
CCACUCGUCUUUGGGGAGUAGCCCGCCCGGCCGCGCAAUGCGCUGGGGGCAUGCGUCAACACACUUGGGUUCUUGGAAACCUAUGGCGUAUGCGGCUUUUGAGCUGGGCGAGACCAUUGACUGCAAACCGAUCCACAUGGCCGGAGUCGGGGUGCAGUCAAUGCGUUUUCCACCCAUCCGGCCGGA